Long non-coding RNA from Bos mutus (wild yak), 1979 nucleotides. The record is from Ensembl. Lineage: Eukaryota; Metazoa; Chordata; Mammalia; Artiodactyla; Bovidae.
CCUGCACAAAGAGCCGUGUUAUUGUAUUUAAAAGAACCAUCUGUAGCAGAAACAAUGGCAUCAAAUUAUCUUUGAAUACCCACUGAAAAAACAUAAAGCUUUUUUUUUUAUUCUUCUUCUGUACGGUGGGGGGAUAGAGCAGUGUUAGGAUAACUGACUUUUUUGUUGUUCUCUGGGUGCAUUCUUCUCGCUCCCCCUCUCUCUCCCCCUCACCCUCUCUCUCCUCUCUCUCUCCCUCUCCCUCUCUCUCUCUCUCUUUUAAAAAAUCAGCCAUUUGGGGUUUUAAGCCAUAAACGAUUUUUCUUGUUGCAGGGGAUUGCAGUGGCAAAGCUAGGCUAGGUCUUGGAGGCUGGUGUAAGGCGAAGCGGGUGAAGGCAGGAGGCUGAUGGAGAGACUGGGGGGAAGAAAAGCCGAAAUGGAUUCAUGGUGCCUUGGAUGGAGGACGAGAGGAGAAUUGCAAGCUCCUUCAACUCGUUCUGUCCGGUGAGAAGUGAUCAAGCUUGGGCUGACAAGAGGCUCAGGGAGCCCUCACGUUCUUUUGCUUUUUUACCUGCCAAUCAAACUGCUACAAGACAACACCCUGAUCUGGCAUGGACAUCGUGGGUCCAAGCCUGUAGCCCCAAAUCGGAUAAUCUCUGCAGCUGAUAACAAGCAAAAGAGAAGCCAGGCAACAGCCAUAUUAAAGAAGAAAACAAUCAACUCUGAGGAUACAGACAGGCAUGCAGAAGUAACUAGACGUCCAACACAUGGCAAAGUCUUGCGGGCCCAGGAUUUCAAACAAAAGAAAACUCGGACAGGAGUGCUCUGCCCACCUGGACUGAGGGAACAGCCCUGGCAAAGUCUCAAGACAGGUCAAGAAACUGGGGAAGGCAAUCAGCUCUUGCAUCGUCCACAUUGUUUCUGGAGCACAGCCUGGCUGAUCCUGGGGCUAGAGCUCAGAACCAGAUCCAGCUUAGAAAUAAUGUUUCACUCAAGAUAAGGCUUGUGGUUUAGGAGAUUCUGGUCUGGCCUGCCUCACUUUAAGACUUCUAUCAUCUCUUUUCAAAACCUGAGGAGGACCUCAUUUCCUGUUUGAUAGUUCUUCAUGCUUUGCCAGCCUCCGGGUCUUUAACGAAGCUUGCCAAGAAUUCCCGGCUGGGAAGGACAGCCUGAGUUCAUCAUAGAGAAUGAGCUGGCACCACAGUUGUACUGACUCACCAACCUCAUUGCAACUUUGCAAUGGCAAGAACCACACUAUCUAAUUGAAAGACCUGUGUUUUAACAAAGUGCAAUUGGAUCACAUGGCAAAAUCCUCUCAAAAUAUGUCUCCAAUCUUUCCUUUCACUGGAUGUUUUGAACCCAAAGGAAAUUAUAUUCUGAAUUAUAUGUUUUUUUGUUUUUAAUUGAGAUUAAUUAACAGAUACUUGGUUUUAUGUCCAUUCCGUUCUAGGAAUUUAGUGGUGAUUACAAAGCAGUGAAAAUAGGUCACAGCAAAAUGAACAUUCCAGAUUAGGUUAAAGCAUUCCUCUGAAAUUUCAGUAUUCAUUUUUGGAGUGUCAGUUACUACAUUUCUGUAAUUCAUCAUUUUUUUUCUUUCUUGGCUUACAGUCAAGAUGAGAAAUGAUAUCGAGACCAAAGACAUUGUUUUGUUACAUAGCCAGUGCUUUUUAAAAUGCAAAACCACCCUCCCCUCACCAAUGCUUAAUCGUUUGUGUGUGCUUAUGUUCACACACACACACACACACACACACACACAUGCUGGCUUGAAACCUUUCAAGACUUCCAGGACCUGGGUCAUGUAAGAGGCAGAUGAGAAAAUUAAAGGAGGACCAGAAGGAGGCCAGAACAGUAGCAACACUAAGAGUCCAUGAUUUCACUUUACAAAAAGUCCUUAUAUACCACACAGGCAUUUUUAAAAAGCAAGUAUUAUUAUAAUUAAAUAAUAUACUUCUAAAGUAUUAUGAUUCUCAUCUAAUUUCAAGAUGUAUAUAGGAGCCGUU